Molecule: long non-coding RNA, 274 nt
Filed under: Nicotiana benthamiana
Lineage: Eukaryota; Viridiplantae; Streptophyta; Magnoliopsida; Solanales; Solanaceae
Description: long non-coding RNA (NBEN_LNC016834)
Source: RNAcentral
UAAUUCCAUAGCCACGCCUUGCUACGAAUUAAGUCAUCCCACUAGUCCGCACAUGCCUUUGCCCCGCUUUAGCCUUGGACCUUGCCUCGCCCUUAACUCCAUAGCCACGCCCUGCCAUGAGUUAAGCCGUCCCACUGAUCCGCGCAUACUUUGCCCGACCUUGCCUUGGACCUUGCCUCGCCCUUAGCUUUAUAGCCACGCCCUGCCAUAAGCUAAGUCGUCCCACUGAUCCGCGCGCAUGCCUUUGUCAAGUGCCAUGCGUCUAUUGCCNNNN